Molecule: long non-coding RNA, 1806 nt
Filed under: Macaca fascicularis (crab-eating macaque)
Lineage: Eukaryota; Metazoa; Chordata; Mammalia; Primates; Cercopithecidae
Description: lncRNA (ENSMFAG00000064637.1)
Source: RNAcentral
UUUUUUUUUUUUUUUUCCUUUCUAGAGUCUGAAAAUAGAUAUAAUGUUGGGGAUGGUCAAACAAGGCUGCCGGCUCCCAAGGGGCUAGAGUCCACUCCUGAUAAUAGAAGGCGGGUGAACACUGACACUUCACUGAGGAUAAUGGAGACAGCAAAGGCUUAGUGGGAAAGGGCCAGUUGUCACCUAAGUGACAGGCAACAGCUGAGCUCACACAUCUGGAGCCGGACUACGGCAAACAUUAGCAACCCUCACCCGUCUACACCUUGGGCCUGUCUGAAAAGACAGAUGGAAGUUCCCUCUACUCCAAAAGUACAUUAAAAAAAUGUCUGAUGGUGAACUACGUCAAUUAUAUAACAUCAACUGCAGGCACAGCCUUCCGAAGUACUGAUUUUAAAACGAGGCAGUAGACAACACUGUAUGCAUGAACAAGAUACAAUUUCAUUGAUUUGCCAUUCAUAAAAUUUAUCCUAAAAGACACAUAUACAUGCAUCCAUUUUAUAGCACAAAAGCAUGUGAACUCUGCAGGAGAGGCAGAUUUUUACACGUUUUUUGUUGGUGGUGGUGGUGGGUUUUUUUUUUUUUUCUUUAGGCUGGUUCCCGUGGUGUGUUCGCCCUGUUCAUAGCCUCAGUUCUGCCGCUGAUAUCCUUUUAAAAAUCAGCAACCAAACGUGUUCGGCUUGUGAUCCUGAACCCUCCUUAGGCAAGCUGGAACUCAGCGUGAUGCCAGCCGUCCUCCCUCUCUCCCAACCCCCAACCUCGUUCUUCAGCCUCCUGAAGACAAUCUGUGAACAAUUUUCCCAAAGUCCCAAGAAUAACACAGCACUGCCAAUAGUCACUGGCGAUGCCGUUUGUUUUUCUUAGAGGGCAAUGAAAAUUUAACAGCUUUCUGCUGCAUCCUGAGUCCUGCUCCUAAUAAUUACUAACAUGCCUAGUUUCUUCAACUUUUUCUAUCUCAAGAGAGGAAGACGCUCCCAUUUUUUCCUAUGUCCGUGCUACAUUCAGAGAACACCAUCGCGGGGCAGGGGGUUGGGAGAGUGGUGGGAGUUGAUUCGCCCCUGCCAAAAAGCCACCAGCCCUUUCCCCAAGCGCGAGAGGAGAGAAUCGGGACCCUCCCUCCGGACGCCAGUAGGUGACAGGCGAUCCUAAGCGGCGGGAACACGCCAACGCACCCUCGCCUCCCGGCGCCCCGCAUCGCCCCGACCCUUGGGCCACAGAACCGGUUUCCACGCCGGAGAAAACCAAGGGAAGAGUUGGUUGUGAUGCAGUAAACAGGAGCCAUGCGGGGAGCCUCUGUGAAGCCCUCGCGAUGCUGCAGCCAGUAUUCUGCUUUCCCUCUCUACAUACCAACAAACCGAUUAUGACCUUCUCCCUGAUCUUCUGCGACACCGACCCAGUCUGGUUGUCACAGACCCCGGCGGUGCCAGCGAAGUGCCCGGCCCUGCCCCUGCGGCGCUCGCCCCCACCACCGCGCCGCAGCCCCUCUGCGGAACCCGCCGGGAUCCCGGCUGCCACUCACCUCGCGCGAGGGAGACGCAACUCGGCUGCACUGUCCUCGGUGCCGCGGCGGGGCGGCGGGGCUGCGGGGCUGCGGGGCUGCGGGGCUGCGGGACUGCGGGACUGCGGGACUGCGGGACUGCGGGACUGCGGGCUGCGGCGUCAGGGGUGGGCAAGGAUGAGCAGCGCACGAACAAUCCAGGGCCCAGAAAGUCUCCGUGCCGGCCGCGGCGCGUCUCGGGAAGUCAGCGCAGGCGGCGCGAGGCUGGCAUGUUCCGGGCGCGCUGUCCGGCGGCGUCGGCCGCGGGAGGC